CCCGCACGUAUAGAUGGACAAGAAUAGGCUCCGGCUUAGUGUCUUAGCAGGCGAUUACUCCGCGGCGCUCGAAGCGCGUCGCGGUAUUUCGCGUAUUGUAAUUUCAACACGAGCGGGGUCAAAUCCUUUGCAGACGACUUAGCUGUGCGAAACGGUCCUGUAAGCAGUAGAGUAGCCUUGUUGUUACGAUCUGCUGAGGGUAAGCCGUCCUUCGCCUAGAUUUCCCCAAUGCGCGCCCUGCGAGACAGGGCCGCGUAGGGGUUGUGGUGCGCUUGUGUAGGGUAGGCCGGUUUGACUUGGCGUGUUCUGUUGGACGCGCGCAGGGAAACCGGUCAUGCUGCGCGGCGAGUUUCGUAUAGGGUAGCCCGGUCCGACUUGGCGUAUUCUCGCGGGGCGCGCGGUGCAGCUACCCUACAGCAGAGGUGGUGUAGGGUAGCCCGGUUUGACUUGGGCGUAUCCUCGUCGGUCCGCGGUGCGGGGCGGGCGGUAUAGGGUAGGCAAGAGGUAUAGGGUAGGUCGGUCUGACUUGGUGGGAUCGUCGUGCGCUUCGUCGGUUCGCGGGGUGCGGUACAGGGUAGGUGGUAUAGGGUAGCCCGCUUUGACUUGGUCGUAUUGCGGUCCGCUUUGUCAGUUUGCAGGACACGGUAUAGGGUAGGAGGUAUAGGGUAGCCUACCCUACAGCGCAGGAUCCGACAGCGCGGGUGGUAUAGGAUAGGUGGUAUAGGGUAGGUUGCGAAAUGAGUAUAGGGUAGGUCUCGUGGUGUAGGGUAGGCUCGGUUGAAGUCUCCGGCCGGUUAGGGGAAAUGCGUGCGAAAUGGUUUUGCUGUUUGGUGGCCGUGAGUCGAUUUUUUUGUUUUCCCAUACAAAUGAAUUUUGCGGAAAAUAAAAAGUGGCCCACGAGCCCGGUCUGGCGUGCGCCCCACCAAAAGCCCGUCGGUGGGUAUAUGAGGGAGGCUCGCCCGCCCGGCCGGGGCCCACUGAAAACUCCCGGGUAGGUAAAAGUUGGUGAGUUGUUAGUGGGCGCGGCUGGCUACUGAAUUUUUUCAGUGGAGGGAUUUUUCCCCAGUGGGUGCGUUUCAGCGGUUGGCCCACUGUAAAUUCCGCCCAGCGGGUGCGUUCCAGCGGUCGGCCCACUGCCAACUCGCGUGCGCGGUGGGCGGUAUAGGGUAGGUCGGUCAGACCCGGUAUAGGGUAGGCGUAUGGUAUAGGGUAGCCUACCCUACAGUGCAGACAUGGUAUAGGGUAGAUCGAAAUUUGGUAUAGGGUAGGCCGCUGGGUGUAGGGUAGGUCGCGGAAUCGGUAUAGGGUAGCCCGUUUGGUAUAGGGUAGGUGUCGAAAUCGGUAUAGGGUAGGUCGAAAUUGGGUGGGUUGGUGCUUUGUCGGGGUUUUGGGUAAAAGUGUAUAGGCUGUGUGGUUGAGAUCCGGAAAAGUCGAAAAUGUUGAAAACACAUCCGUUAAAAAAAUUAAAACAGCGAUUGAGCGCGCUGUAGCAGCCCCACGGCUACAGAGCCUAUUGCACUGUAAUCAGGGCGCUUCAGUGCAUAUAGUGCCCCAAAGCCCGCCUCGGUGUAGGGUAGUUGGUAUAGGGUAGGUGGUAUAGGGUAGGUUACCCUAUACCCCCGAUGGUGUAGGGUAGGUCGGUCCGCCUUGGUGCGCGCCGGAAGCCAGCUACCCUACAGCGCUCUUCGGCGCCGCACAGCGCACGCUACAGGCGUCGCCCGCCCGCGGGACCAGUCGCAUUCGACUCGCAGGCCUCGGUUGCGUCGACUGAGCUCGCGAAGAAAAAAUGCGUGCGAAAUGGUUUUGCUGUUUGGUGGCCGUGAGUCGAUUUUUUUGUUUUCCCAUACAAAUGAAUUUUGCGGAAAAUGAAAAGUGGCCCACGAGCGAUUCCUGGCGUGCGCCCCACUAAAAGUCCGUCGGUGGGUAUAUGAGAGGGGGGCAAAAAAGCCCGGCCGGAAACGGUCGGGCUUUCGAGCCUCCGCAACACUCUUAGUGGUCCCGUAAGGCGCCGCGACUUAUUUUCAGUACCUGAUCUUGCAGAUUCCCACUGCGUGGCCCUCUGAACAAGCUUGCAGGCUCCGGCUUCGCUAGCGGGGGGUUCAUAGUGGGCGUCGACCUCCACGAAAGCGACCGCCCAGGCGGUACGGCGUACUGGGGAUGCCUGGCUAUAGCGGACGUAGGCUUGCCUGCGACCGCUGCCGGUUGGGCUCUGUGGGUAACUGGCCGAUGGCUAGACCUACCAACUGAGCAUCGGGAGGCAACCUCUCGGGACUGACACCGCAAUGGUAGAUGUCCCGUGCAGCGUCCUCCUCUUGGGGCCCCUAAGCCACACGGCCCGCUACGGGUGCGGUGCGGCGGACGGAAGCCCUGGGGAAUUUAGAGGGGGAAAUCGGAAUGCCGACCACGGCGCUGCUGGCCUCGCCGACAGCGCUGUGUGCGGCGCGCCUUCACGGGCGCCGUCCAGUAACUUACCAUCUCUCCGGCGCUGAAACACGCGCC
This 2499-nucleotide unclassified non-coding RNA is filed under the name Ilyonectria robusta. RNAcentral's name for it is "partial contains 28S ribosomal RNA, 28S-18S ribosomal RNA intergenic spacer, and 18S ribosomal RNA". The stretch from base 1 to 225 matches the Rfam family "Eukaryotic large subunit ribosomal RNA", at positions 3162 to 3401 of the family's 3401-position model. The record is from RNAcentral. Lineage: Eukaryota; Fungi; Ascomycota; Sordariomycetes; Hypocreales; Nectriaceae.